UACGGGGGGGGCAAGCGUUGUUCGGAAUUACUGGGCGUAAAGGGCUCGUAGGUGGCCAACUAAGUCAGACGUGAAAUCCCUCGGCUUAACCGGGGAACUGCGUCUGAUACUGGAUGGCUUGAGUCCGGAAGAGGAGAGUGGAAUUCCUGGUGUAGCGGUGAAAUGCGCAGAUAUCAGGAAGAACACCCGUGGCGAAGGCGGCUCUCUGGGACGGUACUGACGCUGAGACGCGAAAGCGUGGGGAGCGAACAGG
This 253-nucleotide ribosomal RNA is filed under the name uncultured bacterium. RNAcentral's name for it is "partial 16S ribosomal RNA". It matches the Rfam family "Bacterial small subunit ribosomal RNA", at positions 524 to 776 of the family's 1533-position model. The record is from RNAcentral.